This 305-nucleotide ribosomal RNA is filed under the name uncultured bacterium. RNAcentral describes it as "bacterial SSU rRNA". It matches the Rfam family "Bacterial small subunit ribosomal RNA", at positions 338 to 641 of the family's 1533-position model. The record is from RNAcentral.
CCUACGGGGGGCAGCAGUGAGGAAUAUUGGUCAAUGGCCGAGAGGCUGAACCAGCCAAGUCGCGUGAGGGAAGACGGCCCUACGGGUUGUAAACCUCUUUUGUCGGGGAGCAAAGCGAACCACGUGUGGUUCAUUGAGAGUACCCGAAGAAAAAGCAUCGGCUGACUCCGUGCCAGCAGCCGCGGUAAUACGGAGGAUGCGAGCGUUAUCCGGAUUUAUUGGGUUUAAAGGGUGCGCAGGCGGCGAGUUAAGUCAGCGGUAAAAUUUCGGGGCUCAACCCCGACGAGCCGUUGAAACUGGCUUGC